Molecule: long non-coding RNA, 936 nt
Filed under: Homo sapiens (human)
Lineage: Eukaryota; Metazoa; Chordata; Mammalia; Primates; Hominidae
Description: HSALNT0314123
Source: RNAcentral
AGACCUUUAAAAAGGGGACUAAGAGUCCAUGCCCAGGGAAUGGUUUCUCUCUCUUCCGCUGGACUUUAACAAGCAAGCACAUGACGGGCUUCAUCAGUCCUGGACGAGAAAGCUGAGAUGAAAAUAACUUGAGUCUUGGAUGAAAUCAGUGACCCUAUGAUAUCAUCACAUCUAGAGCUGACUCUAACUGGACUUCCAGCUAUUUCCAGGACAUAUUCAAGCAGAGUUUGGAUAACCACCUGCCAAAGAUCUGUAUUGGAUAUUCAAGAAACAAGACCUGCAAACCCCUCUUUGCUGAUUCAAGUAUGCCUGGCGAAGAUCCACAAAGUAGAAGGCAGAAGGUCAGCUCAGUACCCAAGGCACUUCCUGUGGAAAGUUACUCACUUAAUCCCAAAGGCAAGACAAGGGCAACCCUUUAAUAUUCAUUUGGAAAAAUCAAAAAGGGAGAGUAGCAUAGAUAGGGUUGCUGAUCCAGUCAAGUCAAUACCAGGCUUCUCACACCUCUCCCAGUGCCUAUCCCAGAAGAUUGAGAACAAUGCUAGGAAGGUAAUUAAAUUGGGGUAGCUAACUCUUCAAGUCUAAUGCAAAUAUUUCCUUCAUUUAGCUGUUCACUUCAUUUGGUUUAAAUAAAGAUAAACCACAUCAAGAUACAAACAUCUAAACUCUUUUCUAAAAGACUCAAAGGAAGAAUACAUUUAUAGAAAAGUUUGGAAAGAUAACCAAAAACGAAGCCAUUCAACCUUUCAAUUAUAGCAGCCCAUAGCAUUGUUACGACUUUUGCGACUGACUACAUAACAAAAGGGGCUGUGUGGUGGAAGACCCUGGAUUUAAACCUGUUUGAUUAUAUCUCUGGAUGUAAAGUCUUUGACUGGAGGGAUAAUCUUUCUCUCCUCAGUAUUUUCCAGGGUCUUAAUAAAUAUCUGCUGAAUGAACAAA